GGUGGAACAUGGUGAGAUGCAUGCAGGAAAGGUGCCGCUUGAGAUUCUGGAGUUGCGAGGGAAAGGGCAUGUUCAUUAAACAAGGAUGCAUAUUUCCUUCUAAGAUUGCAAACAUGAGGGUGAGUACAUUUAAAUAGCACAUGUUGUUCAUCCUGAACGUCAUCGUGAGCAUCACACAGAUCGCACUUAGUAUCAAUAUUUUCAUUCCAGUAGUUUAGCUCAAUCCUCAAAAAAUGAACACGUAACCGAAAGCAGGCAACACUGCGUAAAAUAUGUGUGGGCAGAUCCAAAUGGAAGUACUUGGGCAAACAACAUAGGGAGAAGGUAGCAUGAGCGUCACGUUGUGGAAGGGCACACCAAUGAUGGUAGGUGAACGUUUUACUGUUUGUGUCAGGUUCCCGUGGCUGACGAGCAGUAAAAAAGGGUUGCUGCCAGAAUGCCAAAUGACGUUUCCAAAGGUCUACAACAAGUUGACUCAGAUUCAGAGGACUGCCAUUGAUAAUAUGAUGAUGGUAAGAUGGAGUAUGCCUAAGACCUUGUGUACCAAGCAAGAGAUGAGAAAUCCAGCAUGCAGGAUGGAAUUGGCUGAGUGAAAUGUCUGCCUGAAAAACCUUACGAAGGAGAGGGCUAUUACAAAAAAUGAGGUUGUUGUAAAGGCGUGCACAUGCUCGAAGCCAAUUCAAUUGCAUGGGUUUUAAGCCACAUUCCUGUAACACACUCCAUGAAGGUGUAGAAUUCCUGACCCCUAGUAUGGUGCGUAAAAAUUGUAAGAGCCACUUUAGAAUGCAAUUUUCCAUCUCUUGACCCUGUUGCAGAUAGGAAGUGGCCCAAAUCUGAGAAGCGUACAUGCCUGCUGGGAUGACAUAAGUUUUGAAUAACCAGAGAUACGCAUGUAAACGAUGAGUGAGACCAUGUUGUUGAAUAAAAGUACGCAUUCUGGCCAUGCUUGCCAGGCACAGCUUGAUAGCCUCCUCUGCAGCUUUGUUCAGAUUAAACUUCUUGUCACAAAACAUGCCUAGAUAUUUGAAAUGCUCAGAGAAAGGCAGUUCCUCAUUGUUGUACAGGAGAGUAGGCAUAUUGUGACCCUGCGAAUUAAAACACACCACAACAGAUUUCUGUGUGUUGACGGUCAGGAAGUUGUCACGGGAGUAUGUGGAAAGGCGAUUCAGCAUUUGCUGUAAAUUGGACGGGGAGUUAGAAGUGAGGCACAGGUCGUCAGCAUAAAGGAUAUGGGAGACAGCAAGGUUGGGAAUUCCUGUACACGCGGCUGGGAUAUCAUGAAAGAUGCUAGGGAUGUCAUUCAGGUAUAAGGAAAAGAGCAAAGGAGAUAAGGGACAACCUUGUUUGACACCAUGUGUUGCUUUGAUACGCGCGUGUUUGUCUCCAUCAACCAAAAUGUAUUCAUCAUCUUGGUACAGAUUCAUAAGAAUAUGAAUGAAAUGUGAAGGCAGUCGACACUUCUGUAAAUGUUGCCAGAGUCGAUGUCUGGGUACAGAGUCAUACGCUUGCUGAACAUCAUUAAAGGCAGCAUACAGACGAGAAGAGUGAUGUGGUUGAUGAAUUUGUGCAGCAUUCCUCAGAUGACAGAGAAAAAAGAGUGGGUGAAGAGUACUGCGCCCAGGAUAAAAACCAAAUUGAGAGUCAGGUAUUGAAUGAGUUUGCUCACACCAGUCUUGCAAAAGGGUACGAAGCACAUUGGUAUAAAGGCGAUAAAAGGUCCCACUUACAGCAAGCAUGCGGUAAUUACUGGCAUGUACAAUGGAACCUUUUUCACACAGAGGGGUGAGUUUAGUAGUCUUCCACUCUGAAGGUAUGGAGGCUUUAAUAAAAAGCAAAUGAAAAAAGGUUGAAAUGAUUGGUGUCAGAACAUUGGUUUGUUGGAAGGCUCUGCCGUCAUCAUGCCUAGCCACUGUGCAAGCAUACUUGAGAAAAGCUGGCAAAAUAGAGUCAAAUCCUGGUGAUGAGCUACCGUUGAGGCGUGAAAUGUGGAGCGCCACAAUCUUAUGUAUUUGACUCUCGUCAGGAAGAGGAAAACUAUCAGAAGAGGGCGCAUCGUCUUGUGACUGGUGGUGCCCACUAAGGGAAGGAACAGUAUGUGCAUGAAGUGAAGAAGAGGAGCUCGUGGAUCGUAGGAAAACUUUAGACAGAUGUUCCUGCCAUGCUGGAAGGGACACGGGUGUGGUAUGUUUGACAGGUUGUUGUCUCAAGAAAGAAUGAACAGAUGGAUCCUUGCGGUAAAGUUUGUCCAUGAAAGCAGCAGCGCGCGCAUGGGUAAAUCUGUGUUUUGCCCGUUGUACUUGCGCCUUGUAUUGGCGAUGAAGUUGUUGGCAAGCAUGCCAGGCUAGCCCAGAUUUAACUGCGAGAAGAAACUCUUUCUUUCUGGUUGCACAUUCCAGAUCAAACCAAAAGGGUCGUCUAGAAGUUGAACGAGGAAAAGUUGACCUGGAUAUAGUCAUGCCCACUCGAGGGUCACACGCUGUCUGUAUAAUCCAAGAUUUGAGCUCCUACUAUGACGAAUCAACAUCUUGUGCCUGAAUAUGAUGUAAAAAAAAGUUACGUUUCUCGUCAUUGUUACGGAGGAUUUGAGCAAAAAGGGUGGCGCGAUCCGGUCGCCAUCUUAAGAGAAAUUCUUGACAUUGUGAGGGUAAAAGAAAAUUACAUAUGGGUGAUUGAAGUCUCUUAUCUAGAUGCCCUGUUGGACUGGAAGAGGGGACAAAAAAAUUGGAUAGAGCGGCGUGGUCAAAACAUACAGGAUGUGAUUUUAGCACCGUGCAAUAGCGAGAACACCCCUCUACUCACCCAAAGUCCUCUGACCCCUCAGCUGCUGCCCCCCUAGGCAAGUCAACCUCUGCCCGCACUGACCGCUGUGCCCCAUCAGAAACACGCAGGGUCCAGCCCCCGGCAAGCACCAGGCACGACACCCCAGAGCGUCGCCCACCACUCAGGCCCAAGCGCCAACCAUCUUCCUCACCUAGCUCCUCAUCCUCUUCCUCAGGUGGUUCCUCUCGCAGGUCCAGCUCACUUGGGCGUCAAGAACGCAGCAGACACACCCCUCACAAGAAACCUAAACCCUCUGCAACUCCGCCUGCACGCGCGCCUGCCACUGGUCAACCACCGCCCGCAGGCUACCCCACUGCACUCACUCCUAGACCUGUGACAGGGUUUGAACAGACCCCACGGCAACAGCCUCAAGGCUCUGCUGGAUGCCCUGACCAGGAAGAACCACUAGACUACGGCCCUGCGCCUGACCUCCAGGUCACAGCAACUGGCUCUCUAGACUUCUCACAAAGCCAGGAGCAGCCACCCGCUGCACCAGAGCCUCAUCCCACACCCCACGCCACCGCACAGACCCACGCAGGCACAACUCCAACUCAGCCUGGCACAACGCCUGUAGGUCAGACGAACACAGGUACAGCUGGUGCCCAACCCAACAUAGCCACUGCUGACACCGGUCCUGCCUCGACUGCUGGUGCUGGCUUGCCCUUCCCUGUCAACACUGCCCCUGCUCUGCCUCCUGCCGCUGGACCUGGCCAACCAGCUGCUGCCCCUGCUGGCACAACAGUGUUUCCUGGCUCUGCUCCACCGCCCUCCAACGCUGGCCACACCCCACCUCAGUCUGUGGUAUACCCUAUUGAAGCCGCAGCUCAUCUCGUUUCCAACCCGCACAGCCCUGUCCCCUUUGUGCCUCACAGCGUCCACAUCACCAUCCAACCUUCAAACCAGGGUCAGGCGGCAUUGGCACAGUUGCGUGAAGUGCACCAGAAUACGUGUAACUACGUGCAGCAGCAGGUUAACAGCUUGAUGGAUGGGCAGUGCAUCGUAAUUGUGUCAACUGAGUCUACCCAGGUCAGUGGGCUUCUCCAUUAGCUUUAGACACCAUUGACCCUGCAGCUAGACGUCUCUCCGGUAUCAUUAGCACAGGUGUGCAAGGUAAAGCGCAACAGGUGCACUCAUCCCCAAUCAAUCUACCGCCACCUGAGCCCAGUGUUUUCCUGCCAUCUCCAGCACAUAGCGCGCAUCACUCUGCCCCCAACUCCUCUCGUGACAACUUCCUGACCGUCAACACACAGAAAUCUGUUGUGGUGUGUUUUAAUUCACAGGGUCACAAUAUGCCUAAUCUCCUGUACAACAAUGAGGAACUCCCUUUCUCUGAGCAUUUCAAAUAUCUUGGCAUGUUAUGUGACAAGAAGUUCAAUCUGAACAAAGCUGCAGAGGAGGCCAUCAAGCCUUGCAUGGCGAGUAUGACCAGAAUACGUACUUUUAUCCAACAACAUGGUCUCACUCACCGUUUACAUGCGUAUCUUUGGUUAUUCAAAACUUAUGUCAUUCCAGCCGGCAUGUAUGCUUCUCCGAUUUGGGCCACUUCCUAUCUGCAACAGGGUCAAGAGAUGAAGAAUUGUAUUCAAAAGUGGCCCUUGCAAUUUUUACGCACCAUACUAGGGGUCAGGAAUUCUACACCUUCAUGGAGUGUGUUACGGGAAUGUGGCUUGGAACCCAUGCAAUUGAAUUGGCUUCGAGCAUGUGCACGCCUUUACAACAUUCUCAUUUUUUGUAACAGUCCUCUCCUUCGUGAGGUUUUUUAGGCGGACAUUUUACUCAGUCAAUUCCAUCCUGCAUGCUGGGUUUCUCACUUCUUGCUUGGCAUACAAGGGCUCAGGCAUACUCCGUCUUAUCAUCAUCACAUCCUCAAUGGCAGUCCUCUGAAUCUGAGUCAACUUGUUAUAGAUCUUCGGAAGCGUCAUUUGGCAUUUUGGAAGCAACCCUUUUUUACAGCUCAUCAGCCUCGGGAACCUGACACGAACAGUAAAACGUUUACCUACCAUCACUGAUGUGCCCUUCCACAACGUGACGCUCAUGCUACCUUCUCCCCAUGUCGUUUGCCCAAGUACUUCCACUUGGAUCUACCCAGACGUAUUAUACACAGUGUUGCCCGCUUUUGGUUACGUGUCCACCUUUUGAGGAUUGAGCAAAACUACUGGAAUGAAAAUAUUGAUCCUAAGUGCAAUCUGUGUGAUGCUCACGAUGAUGCUCAGGAUGAGCAACAUGUGCUAUUUAAAAGUACUCACCCGCAUGUUUGCAACCUCAGAAGGAAAUGCGCAUCUUUGUUUAAUGGACAUGCCCUUUCCCUCUCAACUCCAGAGUCCCAAGCGGCACCGCUCCUGCAUGCAUCUCACCAUGUCCCACCGCAUGCCAUGCGAUCUUUUUUGAUUCAAAACAAUGAUAAACUUUAUCCUUUCCUGCAUGAAAUAUUACUUCUUUACAGGGUUAGAGGAAAAAAAGGCCUUCAGUCAAAAUGCGCGACUGCUAGCCUGUUCAUAAAAAGCAACAAUUUCAUGAAUAAAAUAGACAAGUUUAUUAUUAACUUGAAGAAGAAGAUUACGUACAUCUUGAGCCUUUUGGUUAUUGAAUAGAAAGGCACACUUAGCACGCAAUGCAACGACAUGAGGGUGAGAACAGUGAAAAAUUGUCAUGCCACAUAAGUGCGGCAUCUGAUUCACCAACUUGGUUUGACUAUCCACUAACAUUCCAGAGGCUGAUCCAGAGCAGGUUAACAGUAUUGAAGAAGUGGGUUUAACGUCCAGAGGCUAGGUAACUCUAGCACAAAGGACAGCUGCCAAAUCCUGAGCAGCUUGACUUACUCUGCCUACCUGAGGCUUGCUUAGCUAAUUUCCUGGCUGGAACCUGACAAACACGAUACGUUACCACACUUUGGGCUGCCACACCAGUCCCCUCCCCAAGGGCUGAUCGGCCUUAGCCGGGCAUACUCACGAUGGCGGUCUUCUCACUUGAUGAGUAAUGAAUACAACCAAAGCCAGAAACACGGAAGUCUUCAAUACUGGCUGUGCCAGUCUCUCAGCCACCAUAAAUAUCAGGUUCAACGACCAACCGCCAAUCUGAAGGUCAGCAGCAAUAUAGCAAUGACAAAAAUCUCGCGUGACAAAAUAACAUGAUUUUCAUCUUGAAUACGAUCUACAUCCUGACACAAAUCACAAUGAGAGGAAGAACCCUGAUUCCAAGUAGAUGUUUCAUACUGAAGAGUAUGGACACGAAGCCUAAAGCGGGAAACAUUGCGAAGAACAUCAUUGUGAAGGGCAAGGUAGAAAUAUUUGGGAAUCUUAGAAGGGGCCUGGGUGGCUACAAUGUUGCGGAUAGGCAGCGCACACCAAUGAUGAUAAGUACGGUGUUUGCUAUUCCGUUGCCUGGGAGUGGGGCCGGAGAACUGAGUCCAAUAUUGGACCUGCCUGGAUCUGAGGUCUACCACAAAUUGUCGAAGGUGAAUUGGUUCACAAUUCAUUAUGUUGAUCUUAAAUUGACUAGCAUGAUGCAAUCCAUCCAUGGCAUUGAUUAUGUGUGAAGACCAGCAGUCACAAGAGGAAGAAAAUAAACAGAUAUCCGCCUGCAAGACCUUUCUGACCGUGAUGAGUGAAAGAAAAGAAAAGAAAAGAAAAACUGCGUAGGCAGAGAAACUCCCCCUACAUCAAUUAAGGAAAAGGAGACACAUUGGCUCCGAAGAGCCGUGAGUCUCCCCCACCACAAGGAAAGAAGGAAAAACAAGUGGGGAUCAGGUGGGUUUCUAGAGGCACAAGGCCCUAGAACCUGGCUGUGGGAAGUAACAUUGUUUGCAAUGGCACGUCUGGUGGUAACAAGUUUGUGAGCGUAAAUAGCGGAAUGGGCAUUCAGGCUACAAGCAAGUUUAGUGGCACGUUCGUGGCUCAGACCAAGCUUUUUGAAUUGAUUGAGGGUUUGCUUGAUGUAACUUGUUCCGCCAACGCCCAGGAGAAUGGGGUGAAUAGUGACACUUUUAGCAUCAAUGAGUUUGCUCAAAUGUGCAUGUUGUUGCUUAUCUUAGCCGCCGCCAAUUUAUGCUCGGGUCUCGUAUCCUCACAGUACUUUAUUUCAAUCAGGUGCACAUGCCUUUGGUUGGGAGCUAGAUGGUGAGGCUGUCUCACUCGGCUGGCCGUGCUGGUCCUCUGCAUGUUCCUGUGCCUGUUACGCAACAUAUAGCGUGAGGGAGAGUCAGAGGAUGAAGAAGGAGAAGAAGAAUUGGGUUUGGCAUUAUAAGGGGUGAUUAAGAUAGCAUCAGGACGGCUGGUAGUGAGUCUAGAUCUCUCCAAAAUGUUUCGAGGAAAUCAGUAAUCAGGUAUAGUUCUGUUUGAAGCAUGAGCAGGAAGUUGAAGAUAAUGCUGUGCUAGCCGUUCAUGUUUUCCUACAUCUGUAUAAAUCAAGCCUGCUCCACGAGGGCUUUUGCUAAGAGCUUUUAUGAUCAUUCUGCCAUUAUGACGUUCAGUUUUCAUGUUAGAGAUGAUAUGAUUUUGGCAACCAGAGAGCAUGUGGAGAGCGCUAUCUAGUUGUUGACAGCCUGGGAAAGGGCAAAGAGGGUCAGUGGAUCGUUUAAAGCGCACGGCAUGUUUUUGAUUAUAGAGGGUGCCAGUACGAUAUUGAAAAAUGGUGCGCUUUACAGAAAAAAAAAAAGAAAAGAAAAGGCUACGCAGUCUUGAGGCCGCGUGCAUUAAGGGAAGAAACCCUAACAAAAGUUAGAGGCCUCACCAAGAGGCCCUACAGGAAAGGAUAUUCCAGGCAUGGUCCUGAAGGCAUUACUGAUCUUCUUUUCAACUUGGGGUAGCAAACUUUGAUAGUAAGGGUAGUAACCUAUUUUGGUAUUGGCAUAUCCAAGCUUGUGUUUAGAGUGCAUGUGUAGCUGGAGUGCAGCGUGGAGGUUGGAAAGGUAUGUGAGUUUUGAAGUGUGUACAGGGGCUAUGGAAGUGCUCGCGGCAUGUUCCCUUGUUUCCUCCUUGGCUAACCAAAAAAUUCGUGAGAAAGGGUUUCCGGCAGGGCCUGCACAGGGGAUUUCAGUAUCCGCCACACUGUUGUUUGCUUUGUCAGCCUGAUACUUUGCUAUAGCAUCUGCACAUUCAUUCCCGGAAAUGCCUGCAUGGGCUUUUACUUUGCGAACAUAAAUUUUGACAUGAGAGUUCUUAAUAAGAGUUAAUAUAAUUCUGAGGAUAUCUCCUUGGAUGUGCUCCCUGUGCUUCUCAGGAUACAAAAUUUGUUUGCCUAUUUGACAAGAAGAAAUGAGGCUGUCUGUUCCAAUGUGUGCAUGGCAGUGGGUGAUGGCAGCAGUAACACCUGCUAAUUCUGCUCGGGGUACGUUGUUUGUGAUUCCAGCACCAUUUGGCUCUACAAGGAUUUUGCUGUCAGACAGGGGAUGGUACACGCCUACCCCUAUUCCUUGCUUUCCAUUUCGGGAAUGACAGCUGCCAUCAGUGUACGCCCAUGUCCUCCAGUCUGGGACUUUGAGGGCAAGGUUGGGGUUCAGCAUACAAGCCGCCCUGUUCAGCAUACAAGCCGCCCUGAUGCUCUAUUUGUGCGGCACAUCCCAGGCAGGCAAGCCCAACUUGAUCCUACCAAGAUUCCACCGCAAGAUAGAGACAUUGACCUUGUUGAACUUAAAUUCUGCUCUGACACUAAUCCUGCCAGCGCCUUGGAGCGUGCACAAACUCAACAUUCCCACACCAUUAGCAGACUUAAAACACGCAGCUUAAGAAACGCAAACAGGAAUAAUAAAGUAACUUUGCACACCAUCUUAAUUGGUGUUGGUCAGGGAAGUUCAGGGGGGUCUGAGAAAUUUCGGGUCCACCCGAAGGCCUGUUUAAAAAUUUUCGGGUCUACCCGACCUGCCUUUCAAGACCUUCGGGUUUAGGUGCUAAAAAAAAAAACCGGCCGGGGGCUGACGCCCCCGGCCGGGUGAGUGCGAUGUGGAGUACUAAUUUAUUUGAGCCUACCUUCUUUCACCAUUACCUUCCCUUUACCGCCAGCGCCGUACCCCUGAGCAUGGGCGACCCCGGGAAUUUCCGGUAUUCUCAUUCGGACUUGCGUCGACCUCUCAGGAGGUCGGGGGUUCGAGCCGCUUAGAUGCCCUCGAAGGCAUAAACAGCGGAAACACUUCCUUCCUUCCUUCCUUCCAUUACCUUUCAAAGAAGAUCUUGUAUACCCAUACAAAUUAUUUCCAAAUUUCUUCAUCCCAAAAUUCCUUCUUGUUUACCCAUACAACUUAUUUCCAAAUUUCUUCAUCCCAAAAUUUCCUCCUUUUCAUAUACCCACCAUUUUCUUUUAACACAGGAGGGGAAUUUUGAUUUCAAUCCAUGGGAAUUUUUUUGGACUGCUGCAUGGCAGCUGCAUGUCAUAGGAGGGGGCUGCAGUUUGCUGCAUCACAUGUGUUACAAUUGCCAAAAAAUGGAGGGUGUAAUGAAUGCAAAAAAAAAAACAAAGGUGUCCACAUUUACAGAUCGUCCAACUCGGUUGCUGCCGCAUUCACACCCAAGUCCAUCAUGCUCCCCUCCUCAUUCAGAUUGCUGAGGCCAAAGCAAUCCGUUCCAUCAUCAACUUCUCCAUCCUCCUCCUCCCCUUCACUCAUCCAUGCUCCCACAUCAUCUUCUUCCUCAAUCUCAUCUUCCUUGGACAUAUCUAGAUCUGGCUCUACACCUUCAUCUACUCCAUCAGCCAGCAAGCCCAAUUCAAUAUCAUCAAUUCUCUUAAACAGAUCCCGCAAUUUCAUAUCCUCCCUUGAGCCAACAGGGACGUAAUUAUGUAUUCUGGCAGCAGCUGCAAAAUCAAAUGAUUGCAAAGGUUGCCCCAGGGUGAGCAACUUGAUGCGCAACAAAGAAUCAAGCGUCAUGAUUUUCAGACGAUUAGUCAACCUGUUUUUCAAGAUGCGGUGCAAACUGAAGCCACGCUCAACAACAGCAGUUUGCACAGGUGUUAAGAACAUUAUGUUAGCAAAAAUAAUCAUUUUUGAAUACACUACUGCAUCAGGGCUAUUCCGCAACAUGCCCCACACUGCCACCGGAUCAACAAUUUUAUAUGUAUUCACCAAUGUAUGCAUUGCUUGCUUCAUGACCAUAAAUUCAUGUGCAAUGCUAGCCCCAUUAAAAUCAAACAAUUUCUGUGAACCCCUCUCUUUGCCACAGAAGUGCGCGAGCAAGACUUUAAAGCUCUCCCAGCCAAACUUCUCUAGGCUCUCAACAGGCAUAUUCAAGUAAAAACUGGGAAUAAAAAUAUGAAAGUGCCCCAGCAAAGCGCAGCUCUCAAACCGCUCUUUAAACUUUUGUACAAUAAACUUGGCUAAAUUCCUCAUCUCCCUCUGCAAAACAAGCAAACUGCACUUCCUCAUUUUAAAUUUGAAUUGAGGGCUUGGAAUCCACCAGCCAUCCUUUUUCACUCCCGCACAAAAGGCUUUAAAACGGACCAAAUGUACACUUUUUAAAUCCUCUGCAGAAACAAACAUUUGUUCAAGCUGCUGCACUGUUCUGUUUACAUGAUGUACAACUUCAUGAGGCAGAAUACUGUCUGACUGAAGCUCUUUGCACAGAAUAACAACAGGUUGCAACAUAUCUAAGACCAAGAACAAGGUACUCACUGCCUUUAAGCUCAGCAACCUCUUUUUCACCCUUACAGCGACAGGCCAAGAGCGGGGAUUAUUUGUUGCAGACUGAUCAUUAUACUGACUCAGGAAUGCAAGCAGAACUGGCAGGUUGGAACACAAGACAUCCAAGCACUCUGCUCGGCUGAGCCAGCGCGUAGGCACAUACAACGGAAACUUCAAGCGUUGCACACCUCUUGCCUUGGCAAAAUCUUCCCAUUCUUGCUGACGCUUAUGGCUUUUACUAAAUAAAUUGUGCACAGCCUUCAACAAGCUGUCCACAAGCUGCAGACAUUCAUUUUCUUUCCCGGCAUCAUUCAUGACUAGCGCAGUCCUGUGUGCUGUACAGUGAACACCAACUAUAUACGGGCACAGCUUUUCCCUCAACUGCUGCUGCACACCAGUGUGCAGCCCCAUGUAAUUAGAUGCACCAUCCGUACACAUUGAAAUAAGCUUUUGCUUAUCUAUACCCAAGGCCUCAAGAAUGCCAAGCAAAACGCUGUAAUGGUGACUUGCAUCGUCUGCUUUUGCGCUGACGCAGCACAGAAAUACAGUGACAAAAGCAAACGUGCUAGCAUCCAGAAACCUGAUAUACACCAUGAUGUGGUUCUGCGUGCUUAUAUCAGUCCCUCCAUCACAAAGCAAAGCAUAAAAAGGACUUACAUUAAUUCUUGCAAUUGUGGCGCUUAAUAAGACUUCGCUACAAGCAUACAUAGAAGACCAGAAGUACCUACGAUGGUUGUAUUUGUGCAAAAUUUUACUUGUGCAUGCCAGGGAAAGGAGCUGCAAAAGAGAUGCAAACUUCUGCCCAGGAACACCCUCUUUAAUGAGCCACAAGGCAGCCAUGAGCAUCGUAGGAAGCACACUGAGCACGGUAGACUGUUGCUUGUCAUGCAUUUUUUGCAAGCCACCACCGAUGCUGCCUACCCCACCAGCACUUGCAAUUGCGGUAUUCUUGGCUUGUAUGUGUCCAGCGGAGGACUCAUGGUCUCUCAGGACACCCGCAUCUCCAAUCACAGCACCAUGGCCACCAUCAACUUUCCCAGCAAACUUGGAUGCAGACUUGCUAUGCUCACGACAUAUGGUGCACACGCCUUUUGGAUGGCCAUACUCAGACUUUUUGCCCGUAUAUUGUAGCCAGGGAUAUGACUUCUGCCACUCUUUCUCCUUGUUGUCCCUGGCUUUCCUGUCCUUCUCCGCCUUAUCCUUCAGAACUUGCUCUUCUUGCUUCCUUUUCUUCUCCCUCUGCUCCUCUUUCCACUACUCUUUGGACUCUUCUGCAGGAGAAAGGGAGGCCCCCAGUGGUCAGUGCAAGUUGCAUGCAAUUUCAAGCUGCUGCAGCACCAACUUUGGCUGGGAAUUGUGCAGUUCAGCAACUGGUCCUCACCAGUCUCAGUGACCUCGCAGCGGACAAGCCCCAGAGUGAGGGGAAUGAUGACGAGGGAGACGAGCUUGGUGAGCGUGGAGCGCUGCCGCUUGCUGCCGGUCUGCUUGCUGCCCGAUGCUGAGGCUCCAGCGGGAGCGGGAGCAGGCGGGAGGUCCACGUACGGCUCAAGCCUGAGGGGGACAGGGUUGGGGCCAGCCCCCUCGGGCCACGAACGCUCACCAGACGCCCCUCUGAGUGCCAGCCUCGCUUCCUCCCAGGUGUGGUCAGAGUUCAGCAAAUCCUGCAAUGUCUCCCUGAACUCAGGGUCUGGGUGCUGCUCCAUCCACUCAUUGGACCAGGCCUCAGGGGGAGUGUUGGCUGGCUGAGAGGGGGGCUGAGGAGGAGGGGUGGGCUGUGGGGCCUGGGAUGCCCCUGCCUGCAGGGGAGCCCCUGCAUGGGACGGAUUUGUGGCCUUCAGAGCAUGGCACUCUGACCCAUGCAUGCUGUUGAUGCAUGCUGACCCAAAUGAGGAUUGAUGCCUGCCAGCAACUCAUGACUUACAAAGGGAAGCAAUUGUAGUCUGUGACGUGGGCGGGGGAGGAGGCUCUGGAAGGCUGGGCAUGGGGCCUCUGCCCCGCCCUCCCCGUCUCCCUCCUCUCCUAGCCAUGGCUGCUGAUGACCCUGGCUGAUUCUGCCUACGUUGAAAAAUGCACCCAAAGUACAAAUUAUAAUGUUCGGGAAAGAAAGAAAGAAAAGAAAAAGAAAAAGAAAAGAAAAACUGCGUAGACGGAGAAACUCCCCCUACAUCAGUUAAGGAAAAGGAGGCACAUUGGCUCCGAAUAAUGUUCGGGUCCUACCCAAACGGGACCUGGCAUUUUCAAGGAAAUUUUGGGUUUGACCCGAGCGGAUUUGGCCUGCGCCUCGGGCGCAGGCCAAAUCCUUCAAUUAUUUUCGGGUAACCCGAGGGUUUGAACUUCUUUGGUGUUGGUGGCACAAUUUACAACAACUUCACUAUUGCACCUCUUAUAAAUCUGGGCCUGACCAAACAAAAAGCUGAAUCACUAGCUUCCCAACUCAGAGACCAUGCCAUCCAAAGAUUAUCCACCAUCAUUAACACAAGACAUGCACUUUGUUUUCAGGGAGCAUCUGGGAGGGGAGGGUUUGCUGGGCGCGCGGCUGUGGCUGAGGAUGGAAGAAGGAGUGUCCGAGCGCUCAGGGGCAUGGCGGCCAAUCCCCCGGAUCCCCAUUAGUUCUGUUUCUUGCUCUCUCCUAGGCUAGGUUCGUCUAGUUUAGGUGGAGGGACUCUUGGUGAGGCCUCUAGCUUUUGCUAGGGGUUCUUCCCUUAAUGCACGCGGCCUCGGGACUGCGUAGACUUUUCUUUUCUUUUCUUUUCUUUUCUUUUGGGGUUGGAUUGGUGAGGCAUAGAGACUACUUCAAGAUUGUCUGUGGAUGCAUUGUUAAAAGCUGUGGAAAUUUGCUGCUUGUCAGAAGGCAGGCAUCACAGCAUGCAUGGCUUUGAGAAUGUCAUGGCUACUGACACUGCGCAGUUUCCAAUUGGCUCUAGGCAUAUACUUACUGAUGUCACUGGCAAGGUUUUGCAGCCAAGCUGGGUUAUGGCUGUUAAGAUGGAUCCUUGCAGCAGGGUUCCAAAACGCAAUAAUUUGUAUAUCCAAGCUGUGCUGAGGAAGAGGUAUUUCUUGAUUCGGGCAUGAUUGAGGGGCUUUGUAAACAAGGUUGGUCUUCAUCUACUUAUUCGGAAAGCGCGUGUUCCAGAUGCUUGGAAGGAAGCUAAACUCACCCCAAUCCACAAGAAAGGCCCCGUUGUUUCUCCAACUAAUUAUAAGAUGAUACCUGUGAGCGCUCCUAUCUACCGGUUGUACACCAAUGUCCUGAGAUCCAUUAUUCAAGAUUGGUGUAUCCACCACAGGAAAAUUCCUGAUACACAAUAUGGAUUUUAUCCAGGAAGAAGUACCCUUCAACCAAUCUUCAUCCUACAACACCUGAAAAACGCAGCCCAAAAAGCUCGGAGUGAUACCUCCAGAUUGUUUACAGCAUUCAUUGAUUUUCAGCAAGCGUACGACUCUGUUCCUUGGGAAAAGCUGCGGAAACAUUUGUAUCAUUGUCGUCUACCUCAACAACUCAUUGCUAUUCUCCAGGAUCUGUAUCACAUGGAUGUAUAUACUCUGCUUGAUGGUGACAAAAUGGCUAGUGUUCAGCCAGUGUGUGGGGUUAAACAAGGAUGUCCUCUAUCCCCUCUUCUUUUCGCAAUUUAUCUCAACGAUAUUGAUACUGUUGCAGAGGGUGUACAAGGUGCUCUGACAGCCAUCCCAAAUUUAACGGUGACCCAUUUACUUUUUGCUGAUGAUCUGGCUUUUACAGCAAACAGGCAACCAAGUUUACAAAAGCUUCUAAACAACCUGAAAGACUACGCCAUGAGGAAAUCUUUGGUUGUUAAUACGUAGAAAUCCCAAGUGAUGUGUGUAAAUUCCAGGUCUGACAAUCUGCCGACUUUUUUCUAUGAUGGGUCACCCUUAACUUACACUGACCAUUUCAAAUAUCUAGGGAUGGUGAUUGAUAAGCAAUUUCAUCUUUCAACAGCAGCAGACGCAGCCUUACAGCCUCUGGUGAAUGAGACUUUCAAAAUACAGCGCUUUGCUCAGGAGCACGGUCUAACCAACCGACUUCAUGCUCUCAUUUGGUUACUUAAGACUUAUUCCAUUCCUGCUGGUAUGUAUGCAAGUCAGAUUUGGGCAACCCCCUUCCUUAAGCAAGGUAAAGAAAUGGACAACCCAUUACAAAAAUGGAUUAUUGCAACACUUAAAAGGUGGCUGGGUGUCAGAGAUACAACUCCUUCUUGGUCUGUGCUGCGAGAGUGUGGGCUUGAACCGCUACAACUCAAUUGGUUCCGAGCAGCUAUUCGUCUGUACAACUCGUUUACACAAUGCAAUAGCAUCACGGUCAGAAAGGUCUUACAGGCGGAUAUCUGCUUAUCUUCUUCCUCUUGUGACUGCUGGUCUUCACACACAAUUAAUGCCAUGGAUGGAUUGCAUCAUGCUAGUCAAUUCAAGCUCAGCAUAAUGAAUUGUGAACCAAUCCACCUUCGACAAUUUGUGGUUGACCUCAGAUCCAGACAGGUUCAUUAUUGGGCUCAAUUCUCCGGCCCCACUCCCAGACAACGGAAUAGCAAACACCGUACUUAUCAUCAUUGGUGUGCGCUGCCUAUCCGCAACAUUGUAGCCACCCAGGCCCCUUAUCAAACUCCCAAAUAUUUCUACAUUGCCCUUCCCAAUGAUGUUCUUCGAAAUGUUGCCCGCUUUAGGCUUUGGGUCCAUACUCUUCGGUAUGAAACAUCUACUUGGAAUCAGGGUUCUUCUUCUCAUUGUGAUUUUUGUCAGGAUGUAAAUUGUAUCCAGGAUGAAAAACAUGUUAUUUUUCACUGUACUCACCCCCAUGUCGUUGCACUGCGUGCUAAGUAUGCCUUUCUAUUCAAUAACCAGGAGGCUCAAGAUGUUCGUAAUUUUAUUCUUCAAGAUAAUAAUAAACUUGUCUAUUUUAUCCAUGAAAUUGUUACUUUUUAUGAACAGGCUAGCAGUCGUGCGUUUUGACUGAAGGCCUUUUUCUUUCCUGUAACCCUGUAACCCUGUAAACAAGGUUGGUCUUCGGGAUGGUGCCAAUUUCAUAGCAUAUGUGGGGAAAUGCAGAAAUGAGUUUAAAGCAGGGGUUCAUUAUCAUUUGUUUUCCCCAAACAGGAAGGAACAUGAAGGUAGCAGUGGCCUCUGUGUUGUGAAUGGCAGAAUAAAUGGCAUGUCGCAAGGUUUGUGUCAUAGUACCCUCAUUAUAGAUGGGAUGGCAAGCAGAGAAGCCUGAAAACCUGGAUGAAAGAGAAUUAUGGAGGGCACCAAAGACAGCGUGUCGAGAGUCAGCACUCCAGUAGUGUUGGUAAUGUGGGUCGUGGUCUAAAGGGGAGGCCAUCUUUUCUUGAGUUACUAAGGCCCAUUUUUGGAGUGCUGAAUAGAUGUCUGCAGGUAGGGCCCGUGAGAAGGAGUCUUUGAUCUUUUUGCUAGAGUAUUUGUUUUCAAGUAGUGUUUUGCGGGAGAGAAGGCCUUGCAGCUCAGAUGCAAAGCUGGCAGGAGCUGGCUUCAUUUUGUCGUGCAUGCCAUGAAGCUUGGCUCUAUAAAAUGCCCUGUAGAGGAUAAAGGAACGGUUAGGGGAUAUCAUCCCAACGCAUUUACCUUGUGUGUUAUAAAUGCAAGCCAUGUGCGUCCUGUAGACCUCCGGGAGAAUUAGUGUAGGAGAACGGACGGAGGGAUUGGGUGUGUGGACCAGUGUCAGGUGGCGCUUCAGCAGGAGCUUGCUCAUCUUUGUAUUUCACAAGGCCAAUUUCAUGCAGCCAAAAUUCGCAGGAACCAGUUGACUUUAUGUCUGCUUGAGGAUUAGUGGGGUUUAGAUCAAAGAUGACUUUGUUGCGCAGUUCAGUGUCUAAUUUUUGCUUCCAUACAUUUGAACUGUCAAGUUUCUCAAAGCCUUGUCUUUCUAGAUUAGAUAGGUCAGAAUCUGCGGUGGGUAAGGAGAGGUCAGGUUCACUUUCCCUGGCUUGAAAUUCAAGGAGACGAGUGUGGAAUUCAGGCCAAAGGUCUUUGGUCUCUUCUGGUUCCCAGGUGGGCUUCCAGGUGACCCUCCAUAGUUCAUGUUUGGACUGUUGUUCCCUGUCAGCUUUUUCCCUGUCAGCCGCGGGAACCUGAGACGAACAGUAAAACGUUCACUUACCAUCAUUGGUGUGCCCUUCCACAACGUGACGCUCAUGCUACCUUCUCUCCGUGUCGUCUACCCAAGUACUUCCAUUUGGAUCUACCCACACAUAUUUUACGCAGUGUUGCCCGCUUUCGGUUACGUGUUCAUCUCUUGAGGAUUGAGCUAAACUACUGGAAUGAAGAGAUUGAUCCUAAGUGCGAUCUGUGUGAUGCUCACGAUGACGCUCAGGAUGAACAACAUGUGCUAUUUUAGUGCACUCAUCCUCACGUUUGCAACCUUAGAAGGAAAUAUGCAUCUUUGUUCAAUGGGCAUGCCCUUUCCCUCUCAACUCCAGUGUCC
RNAcentral lists this long non-coding RNA (16877 nucleotides) under Dunaliella salina. Its description in RNAcentral is "long non-coding RNA (DSAL_LNC000157)". The record is from RNAcentral. Lineage: Eukaryota; Viridiplantae; Chlorophyta; Chlorophyceae; Chlamydomonadales; Dunaliellaceae.